UCGGCAAUUUAUUGAGUGCUCAAACAAAUACCCAGUUGGGGCUACUAUUGCGAGUUUAAAUCCCGAUCAAAUGUAGUCUAAGGCAUCAUUUCAUUGGUGUCAAUAAAGUGAUCUACCACUCUGUGAAAAGCUGAAAGUUUUUUUUUAAUCAUGGAUCUCACGGACCCUGUCAUAGGAAUGUGGACAUUUCCAUUCUUGGCUCAGGGCUGGGGAAAUCAACAGUGGUUGUCCUAUGGUCAGCCUCGCCCUGGCAUAGGAGCGUGAAAUUUCCACCAUUGACUUAGAGCAAUAAACAGGAGAUAAGUGCCAAGCCGGUACACGACUUAAACUCGUGUGUUGAGCAAUUCCGUCUGUUGUGUUUUUUUAAUGAUGAGAUUAUCCACAUGUCGUAUACUUUGUGUGCAUAACCAGGUCUCAUUAUGUUUCUGCAUUCCACAGCCUGUGUGACCAUCACCUCCCCGUAUUCCUAAACCCGUACAAUCUGUCAAGCGCCAAAUACAACCAGUUUGAGAACAUCUCGUAUAAUCUGCCCUUCGGAAUAUACAACGUUGAAAAUAAAGUGAAGUUGGUUUUGAAUCUCACGAAGAACUACAGCUUACCCGCGCAAUUACAGAGGUUCUCCAACAGGUCCUGUGUGGUGGUUGGAAAUAGUUUCAUCCUCAAAGGGCGCAGAAUUGGAAGCAUCAUAGAUUCGUAUGACACCGUAAUAAGG
Molecule: long non-coding RNA, 712 nt
Organism: Petromyzon marinus (sea lamprey)
Lineage: Eukaryota; Metazoa; Chordata; Hyperoartia; Petromyzontiformes; Petromyzontidae
Source: RefSeq, a predicted model, not a curated record